AGAUUGUUUCAAGUAGUCGUUGCGUGCGGAUGCAAAUCCCCAAUGUUAAAGUCACAUGUGUUUGAGAUUUGUACGUUUCAUUUAUUUGUAAAAUAUGACCGAAGGGCCAAUUGUCAAUAGAUUAGAGGGACACCAUUGUUACUCCUAGGUACCACCAUUAAUCACUGAAGAUACUCCCACUGAUUAUGAAGAACUUCCGGUGAUUGUUUUUGAAAAUGAGGCGCCAUAAAAAAAAGAUUUGAAACAAAUACAAAACACAUGUGCGAAACGAAAGAAAUGCUAAAGGAAACGAGUGAAAAAAUCUCCAACAUGGAAACGUCAUCAAAUCUGACAACUGAAAAAAAAAAACAAAAAUAGAAGUUAUGCCGCCAAGACCACACCUAAACAAAUUUUGACGAAUUACAAGAUUAUCUUUGCCUAUUAGAAUAAGCAGAUUUCUUUGUAAGUUAAAAAAAUACAAUGAAUUCAUAUAUACAUAUAACAUAAUGGUUCCGGCUCGAGGGACCAAUGUUCCGGCUUGAAGUGCCAAUGUUUCGUACAAUCCGAAUCGUAGUACCAACGUUUUUUGUAAUCCGGUUGAUACGACCAUGUAUGAUCUUCCGAAUUGUACCUUGAUAUUGCUCGAAGGACCUUUGUUUGAUGUUUAAUAUAGGACGGUUACAGAAGUACUAAAAUUACAGUGCUAUUUACAAAAUCAGGUAAAGAUACCCAAAAGGGUCAGUGGCCGCUUCCGGAAAUGCAACACAUAAUAUUGGAUAUUAUAUACAGGUAAAUGCCUGUAAUACUACGAUAUUUUUGAUAACUUACUAUACAUGCACAUUUCGCUUCAUUGUAAAAAGUAUUGACAACGAGAUUUUCCUGAUAGGCUAUACGUUUUUGUCAAUGCAACCAUUUUACGAUUAUCCGUUAGAUUCAAGUAAAUUUAGCAUUUUUAAAAUGCAGAAUUUGUCUUCUGCUUUAAGCUGUACUCCCUUAAAUUUAAUAAUUUGGCUAUUAUUGCCCAUAGACGAAAAAAUAUUUGCAUUUCCAUUAAUCCAUGCACUCUAAUGGGUUUUUCUUUUCAGUGCAAUAAAUUAAGGCAAACUUAAAAAAGUUAGGUUAUUAAUAUGAUUGUUAAAACAGAAUUAAUUCUUAACGGUACUUUUUUGUGUGUUGGGGACAGUCAAGUCGUCGUGAAUUAGAAAGUUUUACAGUGUAUUUUCAAAGCAAGUAACUUCAACAAUGCGAUUCAACUGUCUUUUCCCUUUAUUCUAGUUUUUUUUUUAUAUAUUUUUUGUAAAUAGAUUUGUUUGUGUUUUUAAGACUGAUUUAUAGUUUAUUAUAGUUUUCUUUUAAUAUUCUUUGUAACUAAAUAGAUUUCUUUGUGUUUUUAAAACUGAUUUUUCUUUAAAUAGCAUAUUUUAUUGCAACGUUUAUUUUUGAUUAUAUCUAAUAUAUAAAAAUGGAUGUUGGUAUAUAUAUAUAUCUGUGAUCGAUAGACUCCGAAAUCGUUUGACCGAUCUCCAUGAAAUUUGGCACAUGUAAGUGGUUUUUCAUGGAGAAGGUUUUUGUGGUAUCCGCUUUGCUGUAACUAGCCACUAGAUGGCGCUACAGCACAUCAACUUCUACACCGUUCAACCGAUUCUGAUAAAAAUUGGUACACGUUGGCAUUUGACUAUGGAGAAUAUUUUCGCCCUAUCCAUUUUGCUGUAACUCGCCACUAGAUGGCGCUGCAACACAUCAACUUCUGUACCAAUCAACCGAUCCUCAUGAAAAUUGAUAUACGUUGGUAUUUGACCAUGGAGAAUAUUUUCGCGUUAUCGAUUUUGCUGUAACUUGCCACUAGAUGGCACUGCAGCACAUCAGCCUCUCUGUUAAAGUAUUAUGAACUUAGAGAAUCAGCGGCACCCAUAUAUCGAAUACUACUAUAUUGCUAUCAGGCCUCAAAAGAGUCCGAAAACACAACAGCAAAGCAAUAUAUCGGACCUCUUUGUCUCUCUAUAGUACCAAACAGUACUGCUCAUAUACUCGUACUUGCUUGAUUUUUAGUCGAUAACGUGACUAGAUGUGUUUUGAGAGUUUUGACAUUUCAUACGUUCGCUUCUAUUUUGUGUACGUGCGCACAGACCCUCGGUACUUUUCUAGACAGAAAACAAUAUCUUCCGUCUCCCUUUGUCCGUGAACACCGUUUCUAUGUUACUUCUGAAGAGUUAGCAAGUAUUAGAUAUAUGGUGGCACCAAUGACAGCAUUGUUUUCGUUGGUAUUACAACAAAAAUCGUAUUGACCGCAAAAUAAAAUCAUUAGUGAUGUUCACUGUCUACAAUCCUCAGUAAUAACAAAGAGUGAAUUACUAGAGAUUAUUGAAAAUGUCAUCCAAAAAAUCAAACUGAUUCCGCGCAUUCCAAUGGUUCCUACUGAUUUGCCCUUUACAUUCAAACGACUACAGUUUCCUGUGCGUCUUGCUUUCGCGAUGGCAAUCAACAAAGCCCAAGGGCAGUCUCUGCGCGUUGCCGGAUUAAAUUUAGGAAAUCCAUGUUUUUCGCAUGGUCAACUGUAUGUUGCUUGCUCCAGAGUAGGAAUUCCAAAAACUCUGUACGUCUAUACACCAAAUCGAAAAACCAAAAAUAUUGUUUACCCACUAGCGUUACGAUAGAUGUUAGUAUUGAUUAAAAUGUGUUCAAGUUGUUUCAGUUAUAGUGGACCAAAAGCUAUAAGGUUAUAUGGCCAUCAUAAAAUUAUCCCAUUGUGUCGAAGUUAAGUUGUUUACAAUAGAAAAGGUUUUAGGGUCGUAAAUAACGUGUCCAAUGGAGCUCGACCGGCUGUUGUGGUUUCGUUCAGGGACGGCUUUCACUAAAUAUGUAAAUCCACCACUCCAUUAUUUCUUUACUACCUGCAGCCGCUGAGGGUUCCGAAAUCACCACUCGCUUUGAAAGCCGGCCCUGUUAAAUAUGAGCAAGAAAUGUUGAGAAGACGAUUUAUUGCCAACCGGGUAAGCUUAGUGCGAACCACACAAAGGGGGUACUUAUUUGCGGUCAACUACUUUUAUAAUGGUCAUAUAACCUUAUACCUUUUGGACUAGCAUAUAUAGCGCAUACAAUAGUCAAAAAUUUUGUUCAUUCACGUGAAUUACUAAUACAAAAAUGUGUACAUUGUGUAUACUAAUGAAAAUAAAUGGAAUAGCAUCAAUAUGAGUUAUCUUAUUAUUCAGUUUUCUACAACGCAUUCUGCGCUCCAGACCAUACAUUUAUAUCCACAUGUAUACAAAGUAAAUAUAUACACAAGCAGGACAACGUCUGCCGGGUUCCGCUAGUAUUGUAUAUUAUCUUUUUUUUUGUUUAUAGUAAUUUGACUCGUAAUUUCCUGUAUGUAGAUUUGUUUGUGUUCUUAAAAGUAGUUUAUCAUUAAUUUGUUUAAUUGACAUAUAUUUUUUUAUUUGUUUAUUGAAGUUCAUUGUUGGUUGUACA
Zophobas morio is the source of this 3444-nucleotide long non-coding RNA. RefSeq lists it as uncharacterized. Lineage: Eukaryota; Metazoa; Arthropoda; Insecta; Coleoptera; Tenebrionidae. The transcript is spliced from 3 exons. The record is from RefSeq and is a predicted model, not a curated record.